AGCUUUGUGAUCACUCGCUGUGUGCCAAGCACCGUUCAGUGAAGUGGUGGUGUAUGGAUGAAUGAACUUUCCUCAGCUCCAAGAAAGUAGGCAAUCUACUCAAGGGAAAUGAAGGCCCUAAUGUGUGGCACAACCUGAAACCCAGAGAGGAACUUCUCCAAGGAGCCGGCAGACUGCGCCUGUACUUGAGGAAACACUCAAACAAAAUCAGCCACACCCCAAUAGUCAGUCAGUUAAAAGCAAGAAACUUCUAAAGGGUACGAUGAAAUGACCAUCAGAUAUGAUAAAGGGAUACCACAUGAUUUUAUAAAGAAGCAGAGAGUCCAUCUGAAUGCCGAGUCCAAUAUUGAAUGUGUGAAAGAGCAUGCAUAUUCCUGCUGCAUAUGGAUCUAUCUCCUGGCUGUGUGCCUUCCUACAUCUCCAUGUGAAAUGCUCCCUUUGGCUCAUGUCUGAACUCUUCUGUAGACCUGGCUGUACUGUUUUGGAAGGUGAAAGCUUUAAGAGUCUCAAUGGAAGAAGAGGGUCACUGCAGAUGGGCCUUAAGGCUUGAAUCGAUCCUACUCCCUGGGCACCAUUGGCUUCCUGACCUUGGAAUUGAUGUGAUAAAGUACCUCACCAGAAGCUACCUGCUCGAUGCCUUACCUCCAUGCAGCCUGCAUCCGUUCAGACUUUAAACCAAAUAAACCUUUCUUUCCUUAAGUUGC
RNAcentral lists this long non-coding RNA (704 nucleotides) under Rattus norvegicus (Norway rat). Its description in RNAcentral is "long non-coding RNA NONRATT011451". The record is from RNAcentral. Lineage: Eukaryota; Metazoa; Chordata; Mammalia; Rodentia; Muridae.